ACUGGCGCGAACAGCUUAUACCAACCUUGCCAAGGUUGGGGUCGAGGGUUCGAAUCCCUUCGCCCGCUCCA
Molecule: transfer RNA, 71 nt
Filed under: Novosphingobium sp. PC22D
Lineage: Bacteria; Pseudomonadati; Pseudomonadota; Alphaproteobacteria; Sphingomonadales; Sphingomonadaceae
Description: tRNA-Ser
Source: RNAcentral